AGAGUUUGAUCCUGGCUCAGAACGAACGUUGGCGGCGUGGAUUAGGCAUGCAAGUCGCGCGAAUCCCCGAAAGGGGGGAAGCGGCGUACGGGGCAGUAAGGCGUGGGUGACCUGCCUGGGGGCCGGGGAUAGCCCGUCGAGAGACGGGGUAAUACCCGAUGACGUCGCGAGACCAAAGCUCCGGCGCCCCCGGAGGGGCCCACGUGGUAUUACCUAGUUGGCGGGGUAACGGCCCACCAAGGGGGAGAUGCCUAGCGGGUGUGAGAGCACGACCCGCGCCACUGGCACUGAGACACUGGCCAGACACCUACGGGUGGCUGCAGUCGAGGAUCUUCGGCAAUGGGGGCAACCCUGACCGAGCGACGCCGCGUGGGCGACGAAGGCCUUCGGGUUGUAAAGCCCUGUCGAGGGGGAGAAAAGGGAAACCUUGAUCUAUCCCUGGAGGAAGCACGGGCUAAGUUCGUGCCAGCCGCCGCGGUAAUUC
This 484-nucleotide ribosomal RNA is filed under the name uncultured bacterium. RNAcentral describes it as "bacterial SSU rRNA". It matches the Rfam family "Bacterial small subunit ribosomal RNA", at positions 8 to 526 of the family's 1533-position model. The record is from RNAcentral.